UAGGGAAUCUUCCACAAUGGACGAAAGUCUGAUGGAGCAACGCCGCGUGAGUGAAGAAGGUUUUCGGAUCGUAAAGCUCUGUUGUUGGUGAAGAAGGAUAGAGGCAGUAACUGGUCUCUAUUUGACGGUAAUCAACCAGAAGGUCACGGCUAACUACGUGCCAG
Molecule: ribosomal RNA, 164 nt
Filed under: uncultured bacterium
Lineage: Bacteria
Description: partial 16S rRNA
Rfam family: Bacterial small subunit ribosomal RNA
Source: RNAcentral